Molecule: ribosomal RNA, 407 nt
Filed under: uncultured bacterium
Lineage: Bacteria
Description: bacterial SSU rRNA
Rfam family: Bacterial small subunit ribosomal RNA
Source: RNAcentral
GGACCCGCACAAGUAGUGGAGCAUGUGGUUUAAUUCGAAGAUACGCGCAGAACCUUACCAACACUUGACAUGUUCGUCGCGACUCUGAGAGAUCAGAGUUUUCGGUUCGGCCGGACGAAACACAGGUGCUGCAUGGCUGUCGUCAGCUCGUGUCGUGAGAUGUUGGGUUAAGUCCCGCAACGAGCGCAACCCUCACUUUUAGUUGCCAUCAUUAAGUUGGGCACUCUGAAAGAACUGCCAGUGAUAAGCUGGAGGAAGGUGGGGAUGACGUCAAGUCCUCAUGGCCCUUACGUGUUGGGCUACACACGUGCUACAAUGAUAUCUACAACAGGAAGCAAAACGGCGACGUUAAGCAAAUCCUUAAAAGAUACCUCAGUUCGGAUUGCACUCUGCAACUCGAGUGCAUG